CUUUUGACUGUCGGUUGUAGUUCUCCAUCUUUCAUCAUUAGAUGGAUAGGAUCAUCUGAUCACCUAGAUAUAAGAGCAUGGUCCAUCAGAUAAUAGGACAACCAGAUGAGCAGCAUUGAAUACGAACAUGUCUGCCCAAAGUUAUUACUCUGGUUCCUUUGCAAGUGAUUCACUUGCAUGUAAAAAGUUAUUCAUCCAGUUGUAAAAAGUUGCUCAUCUGCCAUCCACCUUGCUUAUUUCAUUGUAGUGGCAUCUACUUUUGCAAAAUGUCACUUAGAUAUUGUAUUGGAUUCUCGUUGUAGGAGCUAUAGGAUACAAGUUCCAUUAGUGCAUUCUUUGACAUUACCUAAGUUGAAUCAUUCCAGUGAUUCAUGGUUUGUUCAUAUACUACAAUUUGAGCAUUGUAUCAUGGGUAUUUCAUUUAGGCCAUGUUUGGAUAAGUGGAAUCCAAGGCAAGAGAAGGGAAAAAUAAAUAAAUAAUUAUCCGAUGAUGAUUUCCAUGAGAACCAUUGAAACAUGGAUUCCUGCUUUGACUUCUUGUUUGUGUAGCAAGUGGAAAUCCCAUAUUCCUCUCACAAAAUUCAUCUAGUUUUUGUGCUAAGAAUCCAAAUAAUGGAAGUGUAAUGAUUUCUUGGUAGAAUCCCACCCUUUUCUUUGCUAUUUAAACAACAUGAAUAGUCACUUCAAAGGAAAAUCCGUUUCCACUGUUUGGCAUGGAAUCCAUGGUUUCCAAACAUAGCCUUACUCAUUCUCUUCAUGUUCAUCAUGAUGUUAUUGUACUUUGUAUUAUAACAAAAUAUAAUUUAACGAUCUGUCCUUAACUUUCAUGCUUCUAGAGUAACAACCUCUUUGCGUUGUUCUUAGAUGAAACAAUGACCUAUUCAUGCGCUAUAUAUAAGAGCGAGGAUGAAGAUUUAAAGGUCGCACAGCUACGGAAAAUCUCUCCUGAUUGAAAAGGCCAGAAUCAAUGCCAGGCAUGAAAUUCUUGAGAUUGGUUGUGGUUGGGGAAGCCUAGCUAUAGAGGUUGUCAAGAGAACAGGUUGUAAAUACACAGGCAUCACAUUGUCUAAGGAGCAACUGAAAUAUGCAGAAAGGACAGUGAAAGAAGCUGGCCUCCUGGACAAGAUAAAAUUCCUUCUAUGUGACUGUCACCAACUGCCAAGCUCUCAGAAAUAUGACAAGAUUAUAUC
Magnolia sinica is the source of this 1190-nucleotide long non-coding RNA. RefSeq lists it as uncharacterized. The record is from RefSeq and is a predicted model, not a curated record. The transcript is spliced from 4 exons. NCBI's taxonomy places the organism in Eukaryota, Viridiplantae, Streptophyta, Magnoliopsida, Magnoliales, Magnoliaceae.